GGGCAAGAGGGCGCGGCCUAGGGACUCAGGUGCCAGCUAAUCCGGCUCUUCCGGGAAAGUUGCCCUAAAGCCUGUCAUAUGGCAUCCUGGGAUUUGAAGUUUCUCUUCGGGCAACUCUCUUGAUGGCUCCUUACUUUUGAGGACAAGAUGGACUACAACUCCCAGAGGGCCAAGCGGCAGCAGCGGGGUCUUGUUCUCUCGCUGGGGCUAGGCGGCUAGUUCAAGUUGCCAUAGCUGCGAGUCUGGGGAGAGCAUAGUCGGUUGCGCCGCAGCGUCAGGUCAGUUGCACCUUCUGGGUCGCUGGCGGCCGUGGGAGCCGGGAGAGGCCUCGGCGAUGAUCCGGCUUUAAGGACCUGGGGUCCUCUUCUAUCUCAGGUGGUUUGGGGAAAGUGUAGGGGCGACCAAAGAUCAUCUACUUGACGAGGCCUUUUGCCCUGAACCUCAUGAAGAAAUGAUAGGAGGCAGACAUAUGUGCCUAAGAAGAGCACUGAGGAGAACACAGAGGAGAACAACACGGAGUUUUGGGGGUGUGCUUUGUAAGUAGGCUUUCUCCCUAAGUUUCCGAGUUAACAGAUUUUUACACAGGGCGGGUAAGAGAUAGA
RNAcentral lists this long non-coding RNA (602 nucleotides) under Mustela putorius furo (domestic ferret). RNAcentral describes it as "lncRNA (ENSMPUG00000025603.1)". The record is from RNAcentral. Lineage: Eukaryota; Metazoa; Chordata; Mammalia; Carnivora; Mustelidae.